CGACCUGAAGGUUAUCUACAAUCAUCAUCGUCUCCGUGUGGAAGCAAGAUGAAGGCCAGCGUCUUAGUCCUCCUCGCGCUACUCAGCGUCGUCAUGGUGACAGCCACUCCUACUGACUGGUCAGACCACCAGCAGCAAGAAGUGAGCAGACGACAGCCAUCACCGGCAGCAGCAGCAGCCCAGGAGCUGGCAGAAAACAAACGUCUGCUUUUUCCAGGAGGUCAAUGGUAGA
Molecule: long non-coding RNA, 232 nt
Organism: Pomacea canaliculata
Lineage: Eukaryota; Metazoa; Mollusca; Gastropoda; Architaenioglossa; Ampullariidae
Exons: 2
Source: RefSeq, a predicted model, not a curated record